This 462-nucleotide ribosomal RNA is filed under the name uncultured bacterium. Its description in RNAcentral is "bacterial SSU rRNA". It matches the Rfam family "Bacterial small subunit ribosomal RNA", at positions 28 to 507 of the family's 1533-position model. The record is from RNAcentral.
GACGAACGCUGGCGGCGUGCCUAACACAUGCAAGUCGAACGGGGUUGAGUGCUUCGGUAUUCAACCUAGUGGCGAACGGGUGAGUAACGCGUGAAGAACCUGCCUUUCAGUGGGGGACAACAGUUGGAAACGACUGCUAAUACCGCAUGACACUGAUGAGGGGCAUCCCUUAUCAGUCAAAGCUUAAUGUGCUGAAAGAUGGCUUCGCGUCUGAUUAGCUAGAUGGCGGGGUAACGGCCCACCAUGGCGACGAUCAGUAGCCGGUCUGAGAGGAUGAACGGCCACAUUGGGACUGAGAUACGGCCCAGACUCCUACGGGAGGCAGCAGUGGGGAAUAUUGGGCAAUGGGGGAAACCCUGACCCAGCAACGCCGCGUGAAGGAAGAAGGCCUCGGUUGUAAAGCUCUGUCUUCAGGGACGAUAAUAGACGGUACCUGAGGAGGAAGCCACGGCUAACUACGUG